UACACGACAGUAUGGGGACGUCUGUCGGCCACAUAUAUACCGCCACGAUUUGUCACUUGCUCGCCGCAUCUGACUGGUGGGCGCGUGGAUGUAUGAUGUGUGAAACAGGGGGGUGUAUCUUCGCCCGUGGCAGCUACCCUGCGAAACCCUGCCUUCCCCGGUAUUUCGGGGCACCCUCAUCCAGUCACCCUAGUCAACUUCUCAGUGGAUCGCUCAGGUUCCGCACCCACCACCAGCAUCCAACGGAAUCUGCCGGGUCGACAGCGGCGCAACUCCAUUCCUGGUCGGCUCGCAGGUUAACUUUAUCCCAGGUCACCACCGUCCAUCAACUAGGGGCGCAAUGCCUUCCACCAUCGGAAGGACUUUUGACCCUAAGGGGUAUCGAUCCCGGGAUCUCCCGGGGGCAAUGGUCGCGCCUUACCAGUGGUGCCAAACCCUAGUAUGUCCAGGAUGUAUGUCCAUCGCUGGCAGUCGAUCACUUGGGCGCCGCCGUUCACUGCUGCUGAUGCUGCUGUUCAUGGUGAUGGUGGUGGUGCUGCUGUAUAGGAUUGUGCGUGACGUGCACAUAUGUGUUACAUGUGUCUGAUGUAGGCAUAUGAUGACGAUAUGCUAUACGCGUGUAGACAGUAGCCUGUUUUGAAUUGGAUUGUGGUGAAUAUGUUUUUGCAUUCAAUCAAUCAUGCGAAGAGCUGGCAGAUGAUGAGCGUUCACGUUCAGGCGCCACCUUUCUCGUAGAGAACUGGGUGAUGCGCCGUGUUUGAGGUUCGAGUGUGUGAGCGUGGAGGGGGGUAGACCGGGUGGAGCGGAUGAAGCCAGCAUGUGUGUGUAUUUGUUGUUAGCUUGCAUUCAUAGCGUCAAAUGGCGCCCGCUGCACGUCCGCAAGCGAGUGGCUGAGCCAGUCAGAUUACUCAUUUAGCACACUGUACAUGGUAUAUCAUUUCCCUAGUCAGAUAUAGCUUGCAUUCAUGUGUUGUUUAUUACUUGUUUUUUCCUCUCUGUCACACA
Molecule: long non-coding RNA, 1005 nt
Filed under: Volvox carteri
Lineage: Eukaryota; Viridiplantae; Chlorophyta; Chlorophyceae; Chlamydomonadales; Volvocaceae
Description: long non-coding RNA (VCAR_LNC000087)
Source: RNAcentral